GAUGAAGAACGUAGUGAAAUGCGAUAAGUAAUGUGAAUUGCAGAAUUCAGUGAAUCAUCGAAUCUUUGAACGCACAUUGCGCCCCCUGGUAUUCCGGGGGGCAUGCCUGUCCGAGCGUCAUUACAACCCUCAAGCUCAGCUUGGUGUUGGGCCCCGCCGCCCCGGCGGGCCCUAAAGUCAGUGGCGGUGCCGUCCGGCUCCGAGCGUAGUAAUUCUUCUCGCUCUGGAGGUCCGGUCGUGUGCUCGCCAGCAACCCCCAAUUUUUUUCAGGUUGACCUCGGAUCAGGUAGGGAUACCCGCUGAACUUAAGCAUAUAAUAAGCGGAGGA
This 328-nucleotide unclassified non-coding RNA is filed under the name soil metagenome. RNAcentral's name for it is "partial contains 5.8S ribosomal RNA, internal transcribed spacer 2, and large subunit ribosomal RNA". The stretch from base 1 to 120 matches the Rfam family "5.8S ribosomal RNA", at positions 35 to 154 of the family's 154-position model. The record is from RNAcentral.